This 235-nucleotide ribosomal RNA is filed under the name Perdicella helena. RNAcentral describes it as "partial 16S ribosomal RNA". The record is from RNAcentral. Lineage: Eukaryota; Metazoa; Mollusca; Gastropoda; Stylommatophora; Achatinellidae.
UUGAAGUCGAGAAUGAAAGGAAAAAUUAAAAUAAACUGUCUUAAAAGUUUUUUUUAAAAAUUACUAAUAUGGUGAAAAUUCCAUAAUAAAUUUAAUAGACGAAGACCCUAUGAAUUAUAAUUAAAAAUUUUAUUAAAAAAUUUUAAAUUUUUGUUGGGGCAACAAGAAUUAAAAAAAUAAAAAAAUUUUAUAAUUAAAUUUUACAUUGGAAAUUAUACUAUAAAUGAAUUUAAUU